AGAUAAGAGUGACCUAGCUGGGAUGUUUGUCACACUGAUAACCAAGGUUGAUUUGGCUGAUCUGGUUGGCUCAGCAGAUGUCCCCUUUCUCCCGCACCAUUCCCUGUGUUCCCUCCUGAGGCUGUGUGCUCAGUGGAAGAGAAUUACCUUCCAACAGAGAAUGGCUCUUCAGUCAAGCAUAUAGGAGUAGCUGCACUCCCCUGCUAGAACCUCCAAACAAAUUUGAAGGACAGAGAAACCAAUCAGCCGUCCUGAGUGCUACAGGCUUGGCU
Molecule: small nuclear RNA, 272 nt
Filed under: Chinchilla lanigera (long-tailed chinchilla)
Lineage: Eukaryota; Metazoa; Chordata; Mammalia; Rodentia; Chinchillidae
Description: 7SK RNA (ENSCLAG00000021615.1)
Rfam family: 7SK RNA
About the family: 7SK was discovered as an abundant small nuclear RNA in the mid-70s but a possible function has only recently been suggested. Two independent studies have found that 7SK RNA binds the CDK9/cyclin T complex (known as elongation factor P-TEFb). P-TEFb activates transcription by phosphorylating the C-terminal domain of RNA polymerase II.
Source: Rfam by way of RNAcentral